UUACCGACCGCCGUCAUAUAGCUGGAAUAUUGCUGGGUGCGGCGUUAAACAACCAACCAACCAACCAUCCGAUAACACCUUUCCCACAGCUGUCGAUGUCCACGUUAUAUUGAAUCCGGUGUCUACACCAGUGACGAUUUGCGAUUAAUUGCUGUCGCACUUGGUAACACUCAACAGCAACAAUUGUACCAUAUUGCGUCAUCCCAGUACAGGGAACCAGAUAACCUCAGCAAGUAUGAUGCCAAGGAAUGGUUGACACAUCAGAACCCUAUUGUUGUCGCCCUGUUACAAUCACUGACGAAUGUUAGUAGUUAUAGUUGUGCAACAAAACAUGUAUAUUUGGAACGUGCCUAUGAACACUUAUAUGGUGCAAGGAAUAGUAAUGUCAUUUGCCCGUUAUCGUUUGCCAUGAACCUGUUACUAUAUUAUGUUACAGGCAGUAAAGUUGCUUGCAAUCUGUCGUCCAUGACGAGUCCAUUUGGCUCUUACCAAAGCAUACUCAAGUGCAUCAAUGAACAACAAGCUGCCAUGCCUGAAAAGUGUCCAACAGCAGGAGAUAUUAUAACAUGUUUUUACAACAUCUACAUCUACAAUCAUUGGCGAGUGAGAUACGACGCUAAAGCCAUGAACAAGGUACAGAUGGCGUGAGUGACACUUUUGAUUGUGCUGUGUUGCCUGAUCCACCCACAGCUAUGGAUGACACCCAUUACACGGUCAAUUCGAGCCCAAGACUCGUGCCGCCAUGCCACGGACCAUCAUAAGGCUUGGCAGAUGCUGGAGAUGUGUCUGUGGGGGACGGGAGCUGAACUUCUCGUUCCUUUCAUCAGAGACUGUAAGCAACAUGGCAGGCAGGCAAGUGUGGCUCUUUUAUAUUCAUGGUUAUCAUGUGCAAAGAACAGGAACUACCUUUUCAUGGCCGAUGUUACUUUACCUUUAUCAUGGCACUGUUUCUAUUCCGGUGUGGCAUGAGAAGAGGAAACGAGAAGUUGAUCACGGAUGCACAGACAUAUAACAAUGUAAUAAAAUUCCUAUCAAACUGUUCUUAUUGUUAACAUUAUUGUAAUACAUUUGCAUAGCAGUAUGGUUUACUCAUGAAGGGCUAUUAUUCAGAAGUGAAUACAACUCUUGAAAAUCCAUUACAAUGUGGUCACAAACUGAAAACCGAGGGUCGGGAAAUACGGAGGUCAUUAUUCAAUGCCAAUUGAACCGCAGUAAGCUCCCCUUACAUUGGGAAAGGUGAACCUCACCACAGCAACACUACGCAGCUGUAGAAGUAUUGAUCCUUAAACACCAGUUAUUCCCCCUUACGUUAUAUCUUAAAGAGGCAGAGCAGUUUUCAGGACAGUAUUUACAUAUUCAGACAAACUUUAAAAACACAUAUUGCAGUGUGUGUACCAACUUAAUGAACACAAAUGAAAGGUGUGCGUAGUUUGGCAUCAUGCAUUACCAACGUUUCAUUUCAUUAAUUUUACAGUCAAUUGUAAAUUGCAAUGCUGGCAAAUAUUUAAUAUAUUAAAACUUUUAGGGUGCGUUUUACCGUUUUGUCAGUAUGAAUAUAGGUUUUUCAAAAGUUGCAUAUUAUCAAUUUAGUGUUUAGUUAUUACCUGGUCUAAGGUGUCUAUGUUGCUGCAUAUUCUCUGCCAGUGCUGUUCUGAAGGAAGUCCCGGCGGCAUCCACAUCUGUAUCCGUCUGUUUUUGGCCUCUCAAACAAUAUCUCCCCCUUCACCCCUGAAAUCCCCCCCCUGACGCCGACAAAGAAAUGUGAUUCUAUGAAGUCCUUCACCUCUGGUGGACUAGAAUUCCGCACAUGAUGAGUGACCGUGACACUAGCAUACCCUGAGUCAUCUAUCAUAUAUUUUCGUGAUAUAGUUCAUUGUGUCGUGUGUACCAACUGCGUGGAUCCUAUAAGAUUGUGAUAUGUUCAUAAGUUCUAACCGUAAUGUUGUAUGUUGCAUAACGCUGUAUCUAUUUCCACAGGGCCUUCCGAGCUGACGCCAUCUGCUAUGAUGAAACUAUCAUCUUAAGAAGUUCAACCUGCGUUUGCGAUUCCAUUAAACUACUUUUGUUAUACUGUACACAGGUUCAGGCAAAAAGCCUGGUCAUACAUUUAAGGGAUCGAUGCUCAUGAUAUCAAUCACUGGAUUGUCUGGUCCAGACUUGAUUAUUUACCGAACGCCGUUAUAUAGCUGGAAUAUUGCUGAAUGCGGCAUAAAAUCACAAACAUACAUUUAAGGAUUGACAGUGCCUCACGUGAGCAAAUUCCAUGAUGCGCGAAGAAGCCUUCUUGGUUUCUCAAUCUCAGUUGAUGGCCGGGGCGGUGGGGUAGCCUAGUGGUUAAAGCGUUCGGUCGUCACGCCGAAGACCCGGGUUCGAUUCCCCACUUGGGUACAAUGUGUGAAGCCCAUUUCUUGUGUCCCCCGUCGUGAUAUAGCUGUAAUAUUGCUAAAUGCGGCGUAAAACAAUACGUCUUUGGUUUUGCGUCUUCGUCCUACGUAUUCUUGCCAUGAUUUCUAUUCUCACCAAGGGCCGAGUGUUAGGCCAAUUAAACGGGUUUAGUGAGUAUGUUUGCGGAAUGAUCAUCCUGUUUCUGCCUCAACACAAUUGAACCAAAUUGUUCCACUUUGGCGCUUAUCUGGGCAGAACGGAAAUUUGUGCUGCGACGUUUAAUUAUCAAAACAGACCAUAGGCAACUGCGCAACAUAAUAUUUAGAGCUUUCAUAUUAUCAGUUUGAUGUGGAAUCAAGCAACUCGGGAGGAAAAGGCACAGAACUAUGGAGAAAGCCGGAACCAGCUAUUUGGUGAAUUUAAAUUUAGCAAUAUCUUGUGUAGUUGAGCAGAAUAAAUGUGUGCCAGCCA
Molecule: long non-coding RNA, 2856 nt
Filed under: Haliotis rufescens (red abalone)
Lineage: Eukaryota; Metazoa; Mollusca; Gastropoda; Lepetellida; Haliotidae
Description: uncharacterized LOC124116378, transcript variant X1
Source: RNAcentral